GUGCCAGCCGCCGCGGUAAUACGUAGGGGGCUAGCGUUGUCCGGAUUUAUUGGGCGUAAAGAGCGUGUAGGCGGCCAGGUAGGUCUGCUGUGAAAACUCGAGGCUCAACCUCGAGACGUCGGCGGAAACCAUCUGGCUAGAGUCCGGAAGAGGAGAGUGGAAUUCCUGGUGUAGCGGUGAAAUGCGCAGAUAUCAGGAAGAACACCCGUGGCGAAGGCGGCUCUCUGGGACGGUACUGACGCUGAGACGCGAAAGCGUGGGGAGCGAACAGGAUUAGAUACCCUGGUAGUCC
Molecule: ribosomal RNA, 292 nt
Filed under: uncultured bacterium
Lineage: Bacteria
Description: partial 16S ribosomal RNA
Rfam family: Bacterial small subunit ribosomal RNA
Source: RNAcentral